UGGGGAAUAUUGCACAAUGGGCGCAAGCCUGAUGCAGCCAUGCCGCGUGUGUGAAGAAGGCCUUCGGGUUGUAAAGCACUUUCAGCGAGGAGGAAGGUGGUGAGCUUAAUACGCUCAUCAAUUGACGUUACUCGCAGAAGAAGCACCGGCUAACUCCGUGCCAGCAGCCGCGGUAAUACGGAGGGUGCAAGCGUUAAUCGGAAUUACUGGGCGUAAAGCGCACGCAGGCGGUUUGUUAAGUCAGAUGUGAAAUCCCCGGGCUCAACCUGGGAACUGCAUUUGAAACUGGCAAGCUAGAGUCUCGUAGAGGGGGGUAGAAUUCCAGGUGUAGCGGUGAAAUGCGUAGAGAUCUGGAGGAAUACCGGUGGCGAAGGCGGCCCCCUGGACGAAGACUGACGCUCAGGUGCGAAAGCGUGGGGCAGCAAACAGGAUUAGAUACCCUGGUAGUCCACGCUGUAAAACGAUGUCGAUUUUGGAGGUUGUGCCCUUGAGGCGUGGCUUCCGGAGCUAACGCGUUAAAUCGACCGCCUGGGGAGUACGGCCGCAAGGUUAAAACUUAAAGGAAUUGC
Molecule: ribosomal RNA, 569 nt
Filed under: uncultured bacterium
Lineage: Bacteria
Description: partial 16S ribosomal RNA
Rfam family: Bacterial small subunit ribosomal RNA
Source: RNAcentral